UACGAAGGGGGCUAGCGUUGCUCGGAAUUACUGGGCGUAAAGCGCACGUAGGCGGAUUGUUAAGUCGGGGGUGAAAUCCCGGAGCUCAACUCCGGAACUGCCUUCGAUACUGACGAUCUUGAGUCCGGGAGAGGUGAGUGGAACUGCGAGUGUAGAGGUGAAAUUCGUAGAUAUUCGCAAGAACACCAGUGGCGAAGGCGGCUCACUGGCCCGAUACUGACGCUGAGGCACGAAAGCGUGGGGAGCAAACGGG
RNAcentral lists this ribosomal RNA (253 nucleotides) under uncultured bacterium. RNAcentral's name for it is "partial 16S ribosomal RNA". It matches the Rfam family "Bacterial small subunit ribosomal RNA", at positions 524 to 776 of the family's 1533-position model. The record is from RNAcentral.